CUGUUUUAAUUGACCCUGAAGCUAUACAUGAGGAGGAGAUUAGUAAUUAAAUUUAUUAUCUUUUAGAUGUAGCUACUUACAUGGAGAACCUUGCCUUACUUGAUGGAGCAAACGUGGUAUCUUACUGAGAGGAUGGUGCUGUGUAUAAUAAGCGAUUUCAUCACAGAUGAGAUAAGAAAGAGAAGAGCACUCUGUUGAAGUUGAAUUUAAGAUGUAGGAGAGCUGCAAGAUUGAAAAGAAAUUUUUUUGCCAGAGAGAGAAGAAGAGCUGGAAUGCCUUGAAGAGGAAGUGGACUCAAAGAUGGAAGGUGGUGAGAGCUUUGAUAAGAUGUAGCAGCAGCACCUUAAGAAGUAGAAGAAGCCCUUUGCUUGGAAAGUUUGGAAGCCUACUCAAGAAGGAUGGCACUAGCAACCAUAAGUAUAGAGAUUGAGCAGUUUGGCCUAACUUAUUCCUUAAUAGCAGGCAUGUAUAAUUGGUAUCAAUUUGCACCUAAAUGUGUUUGCUUCAUUGUUUAUGUUUCCAGAAAGCAGAAUAGGAUAAAGAAAUGAUGAGGCUUCUAUUAUCAUUUUAGUUUUUCCUUGUAUCUCUUUUGAUUUUUGAAAUGUGAUUCCUCAUAUGGGACAGUAUCUUGUACGUGAUGGAGAUUUUUUUUUUCCUUCAUUUUUAUUAUGUUCAUUGCCCUUCUUAUCUAGAUUGUAUGAAUAGGAGUGGUAAUUUGAAUUUCUAUCUUUGAUGUACUGCUGCU
Molecule: long non-coding RNA, 745 nt
Organism: Quercus robur (English oak)
Lineage: Eukaryota; Viridiplantae; Streptophyta; Magnoliopsida; Fagales; Fagaceae
Exons: 2
Source: RefSeq, a predicted model, not a curated record